AACACAGAGAGAGCAAGCUCGGGAGAAUUUUCGAAGAGGCUUGUCUUCAAGAUAUGGAAGGAAGAGAGAGAUGACAGCCUGCAAGCUUUGUAUGCCAGUGCCUGGCAGGGCAGGGAGGGGGUGGGGGAGUGAUGCGAGGGAAGCCAAGUGGAUUCUCAGAAAAAGGGGGGAAGCCAUCAAAGAGCUAAAGGUGAUUAGAGGGGGAUAUCGAUUCCUUACUCUGCCAGAGGUUUAAGCAGGCAUGAGAGGAAUCUGUACCAUGGCUGGCAGAAAGAGACCCAUUGCCUCUUGUAACCAGACACUGGGGCUUUCCAGGAGCCCAGGGAGAGAGCCGAGAAGAAAGGGGGCAGUGUGGUCUAGGAAAAUUCAACUUGUCGCUGAUUUGUGCCUGAUGCUUGCUGUCCGUCAGCAGCCUCCCUUACAAGCCUUUUUUCCUCUCUCUCCUUUUUUCUCCCCUUGCCUUCUUCUUCAGUGAAGCCUAGGGGAGCCAGUAAAGAUUAAAUGUGCUUUCUCAAAGGCAGCCACUUCAUGCUGCUAUGUCGAAAGGGCUAUUAUUAUUAUUAAUAUGAGAGAGAGAGAGAAAGAGAGAGAGGGAGAGAGACUAGGUAUGGUGAUGACGGUCUAGCUUUUUGGAGAGCAAAAGGGAGAGAAAAAAGGAGAGACCAUGAGCUGAACCAAGGACUGUGCAUGAGCUGAACCUACAGAGCUGGUCCUAUAGCCCCCUUUCUCAGUAAUGUCUCCCCAGUGAAAGGAAAAAGACUGCAGAGGCUUCAGACUGACGGACGCUCAUGCCAACUGUGAAGUUGAAACAAAGCAAGUGACCAGCUGAAGAGGCCCCUCCUGCCCAGCAGCCACCCACAUGCAGUUGCAGCCAGUAGUAAUCUUUGCAAGAAGCAGAGAAACCCAGAACACGUAUGAGUCAAAACCAUCCCCUUCCUUGUGUGUGUAUCCCUGUCUCGUUCAAAUUGGUGUGCCUUCCAUUUGGAUCCUGGUAUGAAUAUGCUUGUUACUGUGUAAAGGCAACUUCGCCCAAAUGUGUUAAUGUAUGAAGAGACUGAAUUUUUUUGUGGGGGGGGGAGAGUUAUUUUUAUCAAAACACAGUGUUCGUUAUUGACAGUGAUCUAGAAAAUGAAAAGCAGUUGGAAAAGACAGCAAAGCAGUCACAGGCGAUCCACAGAGAUGCUCACACCACCACACAGAAACACCACAUCAUGCUCCCAGACUCUGAGCAGGGAGCGAGACUCUGUGACAUACUGUGGCUGCCGCCAAGGGUCAACAGCAAGCCAGACACAGGUGCAGAAGCUACCUCAAGUGUAGUGAUAAACUGAGUCAGGAGACAAUAAGAACAGCAACGACACAAAAGACAAUGUCCUUGGAGGGGGCCAAGUGGGUUUGCUUAAGGAAGGAUGCUCCCUUAAAGAGAGAAUAGGAAAUCAACCUUUAAAGGAUGUAAAAACAAAACUAGAUAAAUGGGAAGAUAGGAGAACAUCGAGUCCUUAAUGCAAACAUAAGGGUAAGCAAUGGAUGGGCAGAGGAAAUCCACAUGGUGAGUCUUGGAGACUACACAUAUCUCAUCUUGAUUUUGCCUGACACUUGGAACCGCUGUCUGUGUGUCUAGUAGAGAUGCUGCACACAGGCACCUCCCCUCCCCCACCCCAAAUGUCCCCUAAACUGAACUAGAACUAAAGUUCCAGUUCUGUGUCACUACAAAGAUUGGUUGGUGAUCCCUGAAUAGAAUUCAUGAUUCUUCUGUUCGUGAUUGCUUCUUACCAAAUUUAUUCCAUACAGGAAAUGUUUAGCAUAUUAAAUCUCAUGGUUGCUAUGAAAAUGACACAUUAUCCACCUUUCACAGGUAAAGAAACUGAUUUUGGUGAGGCUGAGUGCCUAGCCAAGGUGCUAUGUGCAGCUAUGCAUAUUCAAGGUUUUGGUCAUGAAACUCAGUCCCUAGUCUGACUUUUGUGAUGAGUUCCAACACAGUUGUCACCUUUACCAUGGCCCUUAAUGCCUGUCUACAGAAAGACAUGGCUUUUCUGCUGACUUACAGCCACAGUAUUUCCUACUUUCAUGCUGAAUUAUACCAGAAUGAUAAAACGUAUUUUCAUGGAAGAAAAUUGAGAAUUUAGUGAAAUACACUGCCUGCCAGCAGUUUGUAUGUUUCUUCUUCAUUUUGGUCUGAAUCUUUUGAUUUAGUUCUGCAUGAAAUCUCAAAGUUUUAAGAUCAGUAAGGGAAAGGCCUUAAGUUACCUGUUAUUGUACUUUUUGACAGAAGAUGUAAAUUGACAACCUGUAAUCAGAGUGACUUUACAAACAAACAAACAACAAAAAGACACCCCCACCCCACAAAACUCAAAUCAAACCAACCAACCAAACAACAAAAUAAACAAAACCGCCCACUUAAUUGGAAAUGUCCCAACAAAGACCAGAAACUAAGUCCUCAGUUAUCUUUCAAUGACUUUUAAAUUAUUGCACCCUGUCCUAAAGAAACAUGAACUUGUAUUUGACUAAAGGCACUAAUGUUGCAUAGAUUGGAUCUCCUAAAAUCUAGUUUCUUCCUUCCUUGGUACUCAUGUCAAUGUUAAAUACAGCUAUGAACUAGUGUAUUUAUGUCAAGAAGUUGACAAUGAUCUGUCCCCAAAGAACAGAGAAUAGCCAAUGUUGUCUAUAUACUCCUUCUUUAAUCCAACCAUGAAAUCAUUAGUUCACUUGCACCAAUCCAAUCCAUUGUGCAUCUUCUCAACCAACCUGACCUAUGGCAAUCAUUUGCAAGUGCUAUAAAUGUUUAUCUAUGACUGUUCCAGAAAUAGCUAAGUAUUAACAAAUACCACUAGUCAUUUUGUGAUGUAAUCUUCAUUUAUCUGUGUAACUAAUUCAAGAAGACUUUGGCCAUAAAAACCUAGAACUAAAAAUCCCAUUCUUGGCUUUCAGCCACUCUACAUUUGAAUGACAUUUCACAGUGAUUAAUAAAUUGUCCAUAUAAAUAACAUAGAUGUCCAGAUUGUGAUUUUUGUCUUGAAUGAGACCAUUAAACUGGGUAGGCUAAGGGACAGAUGUCUAACUUUUUGAGGUACCUGGAUAUUUAACUGAUGUAAUUUUCUACUUAGCUGUUUGACAUUGUCGUAUGUAGUCCUGGUCAUGGCUUUGACUGUUCUGUUUUUUCAAAAUGCUUGUUGGCUCUGUCUUACACUGUUCUCACUGAUCUCAUAAAUAAACAGGUUUGUUGUUAAAGAGUAGCCCAAGCACAAAGUGUGAUGUUGUUGACAUUUUACAAGACUUUCCUUGGUCCCUGACUCCCAAUAAAGGAAAUGUUGCAUUAACUGU
This 3318-nucleotide long non-coding RNA is filed under the name Mus caroli (Ryukyu mouse). Its description in RNAcentral is "lncRNA (MGP_CAROLIEiJ_G0013856.1)". Lineage: Eukaryota; Metazoa; Chordata; Mammalia; Rodentia; Muridae. The record is from RNAcentral.